Camelus dromedarius (Arabian camel) is the source of this 297-nucleotide long non-coding RNA. RefSeq lists it as uncharacterized. The transcript has 3 exons. NCBI's taxonomy places the organism in Eukaryota, Metazoa, Chordata, Mammalia, Artiodactyla, Camelidae. The record is from RefSeq and is a predicted model, not a curated record.
UUAUUGGUUCAACAUCAGUGGUUACUCCAGGCUUUGAACACCUUCAGUAGAACUUUCUUGGGAGAAAUGCUGCCUUCUCCUAAUGAAGCAUAGAAACUCCAAGUGAAUUGGUGGAAAGCUCAGAAGAUGUCUCUUAUGACAGGAGCCACUAUUUCAAGACACUGAUGAACUGAUCCCAAAAUUCAUAUGGAAAUGCACGGGACCCAAAUACCCAAAACAAUCUUGUUAGAGAAGAACAAAGAGGACCCAUACUUUCUAAUCUCAAAGCUUACUACAAAGACCAACAUUUAUGUUAUG